GAUGAACGCUGGCGGCGUGCCUAAUACAUGCAAGUCGAGCGAACAGAUGAGGAGCUUGCUCCUCUGACGUUAGCGGCGGACGGGUGAGUAACACGUGGAUAACCUACCUAUAAGACUGGGAUAACUUCGGGAAACCGGAGCUAAUACCGGAUAAUAUAUUGAACCGCAUGGUUCAAUAGUGAAAGACGGUUUUGCUGUCACUUAUAGAUGGAUCCGCGCCGCAUUAGCUAGUUGGUAAGGUAACGGCUUACCAAGGCAACGAUGCGUAGCCGACCUGAGAGGGUGAUCGGCCACACUGGAACUGAGACACGGUCCAGACUCCUACGGUAGGCAGCAGUAGGGAAUCUUCCGCAAUGGGCGAAAGCCUGACGGAGCAACGCCGCGUGAGUGAUGAAGGUCUUCGGAUCGUAAAACUCUGUUAUUAGGGAAGAACAAAUGUGUAAGUAACUAUGCACGUCUUGACGGUACCGAAUCAGAAAGCCACGGCUAACUACGUG
This 497-nucleotide ribosomal RNA is filed under the name uncultured bacterium. Its description in RNAcentral is "partial 16S ribosomal RNA". It matches the Rfam family "Bacterial small subunit ribosomal RNA", at positions 28 to 507 of the family's 1533-position model. The record is from RNAcentral.